Molecule: small RNA, 50 nt
Filed under: Arabidopsis thaliana (thale cress)
Lineage: Eukaryota; Viridiplantae; Streptophyta; Magnoliopsida; Brassicales; Brassicaceae
Description: ATSL024080
Source: RNAcentral
GAAAGUAGUGAUGUUGUAGAGAAGAAGAAGAAGAAGAAGAAGCAGAAGAA